GGGUGCUAUCAUACCAGCACUAAUACACCGGAUCCUAUCAGAACUACGAAGUUAAACGUGCUUGGGCGAGAGUAGUACUAAGACGGGUGACCUC
RNAcentral lists this ribosomal RNA (94 nucleotides) under Ricinus communis (castor bean). Lineage: Eukaryota; Viridiplantae; Streptophyta; Magnoliopsida; Malpighiales; Euphorbiaceae. The record is from RNAcentral.